This 147-nucleotide ribosomal RNA is filed under the name Cryptomonas curvata. Its description in RNAcentral is "5.8S ribosomal RNA". The record is from RNAcentral. Lineage: Eukaryota; Cryptophyceae; Cryptomonadales; Cryptomonadaceae.
UAUCGAUACUCGCGUCAUCAGGCAGCCGUUCUCGUUUCUGGCAUGGAUUCUGUUUUAGAGGCGUUCAAACAUAAUCCUACAGAUGGUAGCGUCUCGCCACUAGCUGCUCAGCUAAGCGAAAAUACCAAUUAUCUGAAUCAACGGUUC